CGGCGGGUUCUCCAGGGAGAAUGCGUCUCCAAGGACACUUACACCCGGAGAGUUCGCACACGCACUGGCAAAUGUUUAUAAAUGUCAAAGACAAUUGGUUUGAACUGUUUACCUGAAGAUGAUUGUCUCUAGGAACAAGGGCACAAAUGCGGGAAUCACUGAUAUAUCUUGGAUUAUCUGAGGAAAUAUUUAUCUGAGGAAAGAAACAUGAGAAGAAGGUGCCUAGGAGACUGCUCCACCAAGAAGAUAAGAAUCAAGCCCUUGGAUGACUGCUUUCCUGUAUGACAAGAAUGGUACCUCUAUUGCAGUGAUAUCCAACCAGCUGAGAAAGUGAAUUUAAUACGUCAUUACUUACUAAGCCUCUACAGGAUUUGGGUUUAGUAGGAAACAAACAGAUUCAAAAACAUUUGUUCAGUUUCAACUUCUCUUCUGUACUCAAAGCUUAGAAAGACUAAGCCAUACAGACUACUGAAGUACUAAAUUGUCUACUCUUUUUGACUGAUGGAACGUUAGAAGUCAGAAUUACUUUAAUCUUGUCAGUAAUUCUUCUGCACGCUCAAGAUAUAGGCUUAUUAAUGAAGACAUAAUGUAGAGCAUUUGAUAGCACUAUUUACAGACAGAAGCUCAUGUCUAUGAGUCAAGAUUUUUCUCAUAAAUAUAUCCACAGUUUUGCCUAAUCUCACUUAUUAGUGAGGCGAAUCAAUUUAGGAAGGCAUAGGGCACUACAGACAUCUCAGACAUUCCAGUUUAGUAAAGAUUAAAUGUUUUGGAGAGGUCAUCUUUCCAUCCACCUUCUCUGUGAUGAUUUUAAAUAUACAAUAGAGUUCAUAAUGAUCUACUAUUUAUCACUUAACAAUUAAUAUUUUCAAAUGUUCAAUACAGGCAUGGUUUUGCUCUAUUAUCUUACUGCUUAGAAGAUCUGUGGAACUUAACUGAAAAGUACAGGCAAUAUAAAUCAGUAUUUAAAUUAUAUAUUAUAUGUUUAUUAUGGGUGCAAAUUUUUAAAAUUUACAUUUUAUGAAAAUUCAGAGUAUUUACAAUUUUUGAAAGAUAAACUUGUAUGCUCUAAUUUACAGUCUAACGUAGUAACAAUUCAUAAAAAUUCAGAUCCUUUAGAGUUGUGUUUACAAAUUAAUUUCCUUAGGAGGCAGCUACAAGGGAUAUUGCUGUAUACACAAGCAAGAACCAGCUUGCUACAUACUUUUAAUUUUAUUUAGAAUCAGAUAGCUACAUGUACUUUUUACAUUGCUUUUGAAUUUCUUUACAAAAUGUCUAUAUAAACUUGUAUGGCUUUAAAAUUGUAACCUGCACCCAAUGCAAAUUUAUGAAAAACACCUGAAUGAAGGCUAGUUUAAAAGUGCUGAAACAUUAACUACUUCAUUUAAUUUAAAAAUUAAUGUAAUACUUGAUUAAAAAUAGCAAUAAUAGGUUUGGGUUUUCAUUAAUAAAAUAUUGUUGUGUUAAUCAGUUUGAUUGUAAAGCAGGUUACAAUUGAAAUUCCAACAAAAAGACUACCAGUUUAUGAGUUGUAAAUUUAUCAUCAAUAAGAUUAGCAAAAUAUAGGAGCCAAAUAUACUCUUCCAAUCAAAUCUACAGUACACUAUGUUCUUAGUACUAACAAUGAAAUUCUCACCAGCAAAAGUGUCUAGUGUACACAACAAUUUAUGCAGCUUCUACAAAGGCAUAAUUUCUUGUAAAGCUUCAGCAGUCCAAUUCAUUACUGGCUUUGCAUGAAUUAACUCAAGCAUGUUUUACUGUUUUAAUAGAGAAUUUGAAAUAGAUACUGGUAUGCUAAAUGUUCAUUUGAAAUUGUCACAUGCAGGUUAUUUAAUUAUUUUGCCCCAAUGCUUAGUUCAACAUUACAAAAAAACAACUUGGUAAUACAAA
Molecule: long non-coding RNA, 1887 nt
Organism: Catharus ustulatus (Swainson's thrush)
Lineage: Eukaryota; Metazoa; Chordata; Aves; Passeriformes; Turdidae
Exons: 4
Source: RefSeq, a predicted model, not a curated record